RNAcentral lists this long non-coding RNA (355 nucleotides) under Nicotiana benthamiana. RNAcentral describes it as "long non-coding RNA (NBEN_LNC017010)". The record is from RNAcentral. Lineage: Eukaryota; Viridiplantae; Streptophyta; Magnoliopsida; Solanales; Solanaceae.
CAUAUUUUAACAAACUUAAAGGUCUAUGGGAUGAAUUAGGAACAAUGUGUGCAAACCAUGGACAAAGAUGCAUUUGUCCUGCCAGAAAUGGCAUCACAUAGGGAGAUGAUGAGAAUAAGGUGUUUCAGUUCCUUAUAGGCCUUAAUGAAGCAUACAUGGGGGUAAGGAGUAACCUACUGAUGAUGCAGCAUCCUCCUACCCUUGACAGUGUCUACAAUAUGGUCCUCAAUGAUGAGAAACAGAGACAAGUCCAGUCCCUUUCUCAAUUUAAUCCAGACUCUAUGUCUUUCAAUGUCCACACAAACAAACAUUCAGCUGGAUUUAAUAAGGUCACAGUGCCUAAUUCUUCUCAUUU